ACACAUGCAAGUCGAGGGGAAACGACAUCGAAAGCUUGCUUUUGAUGGGCGUCGACCGGCGCACGGGUGAGUAACGCGUAUCCAACCUGCCCACCACUUGGGGAUAACCUUGCGAAAGUAAGACUAAUACCCAAUGACGUCUCUAGAAGACAUCUGAAAGAGAUUAAAGAUUUAUCGGUGAUGGAUGGGGAUGCGUCUGAUUAGCUUGUUGGCGGGGUAACGGCCCACCAAGGCAACGAUCAGUAGGGGUUCUGAGAGGAAGGUCCCCCACAUUGGAACUGAGACACGGUCCAAACUCCUACGGGAGGCAGCAGUGAGGAAUAUUGGUCAAUGGACGAGAGUCUGAACCAGCCAAGUAGCGUGCAGGAUGACGGCCCUAUGGGUUGUAAACUGCUUUUAUAAGGGAAUAAAGUGAGUCUCGUGAGACUUUUUGCAUGUACCUUAUGAAUAAGGACCGGCUAAUUCCGUGCCAGCAGCCGCGGUAAUACGGAAGGUCCGGGCGUUAUCCGGAUUUAUUGGGUUUAAAGGGAGCGUAGGCCGGAGAUUAAGCGUGUUGUGAAAUGUAGACGCUCAACGUCUGCACUGCAGCGCGAACUGGAGGGCUUGAGUACGCACAAAGUGGGCGGAAUUCGUGGUGUAGCGGUGAAAUGCUUAGAUAUCACGAAGAACUCCGAUUGCGAAGGCAGCUCACUGGAGCGCAACUGACGCUGAAGCUCGAAAGUGCGGGUAUCGAACAGGAUUAGAUACCCUGGUAGUCCGCACGGUAAACGAUGGAUGCCCGCUGUUGGUCUGAAUAGGUCAGCGGCCAAGCGAAAGCAUUAAGCAUCCCACCUGGGGAGUACGCCGGCAACGGUGAAACUCAAAGGAAUUGACGGGGGCCCGCACAAGCGGAGGAACAUGUGGUUUAAUUCGAUGAUACGCGAGGAACCUUACCCGGGCUUGAAUUGCA
This 949-nucleotide ribosomal RNA is filed under the name uncultured bacterium. RNAcentral describes it as "bacterial SSU rRNA". It matches the Rfam family "Bacterial small subunit ribosomal RNA", at positions 51 to 990 of the family's 1533-position model. The record is from RNAcentral.